ACAUGCAAGUCGAACGAAGUAGCAAUACUUAGUGGCAGACGGGUGAGUAACAUGUGGGUAUCUACCCUUUGGCCUGGAAUAACACGAGGAAACUUGUGCUAAUACCGGAUAAGUCUUUACGGAGAAAGCUUUAUGCACCAUUGGAUGAGCCCGCACUUGAUUAGUUUGUUGGUAGGGUAAUGGCCUACCAAGACUAUGAUCAAUAGCUGAUUUGAGAGGAUGAUCAGCCACAUUGGGACUGAGACACGGCCCAAACUCCUACGGGAGGCAGCAGUGGGGAAUCUUGCACAAUGGAGGAAACUCUGAUGCAGCGAUGCCGCGUGAGUGAAGAAGGCCUUUGGGUUGUAAAGCUCUUUCGUCGGGGAAGAAAAUGACUGUACCCGAAUAAGAAGGUCCGGCUAACUUCGUGCCAGCAGCCGCGGUAAUACGAAGGGACCUAGCGUAGUUCGGAAUUACUGGGCUUAAAGAGUUCGUAGGUGGUUGAAAAAGUUGGUGGUGAAAUCCCAGAGCUUAACUCUGGAACUGCCAUCAAAACUUUUCAGCUAGAGUAUGAUAGAGGAAAGCAGAAUUUCUAGUGUAGAGGUGAAAUUCGUAGAUAUUAGAAAGAAUACCAAUUGCGAAGGCAGCUUUCUGGAUCAUUACUGACACUGAGGAACGAAAGCAUGGGUAGCGAAGAGGAUUAGAUACCCUCGUAGUCCAUGCCGUAAACGAUGUGUGUUAGACGUUGGAAAUUUAUUUUCAGUGUCGCAGGGAAACCGAUAAACACACCGCCUGGGGAGUACGACCGCAAGGUUAAAACUCAAAUGAAUUGACGGGGACCCGCACAAGUAGUGGAGCAUGUGGUUUAAUUCGAAGAUACGCGCAGAACCUUACCAACACUUGACAUGUUCGUCGCGACUCUAAGAGAUUAG
RNAcentral lists this ribosomal RNA (911 nucleotides) under marine metagenome. RNAcentral describes it as "bacterial SSU rRNA". It matches the Rfam family "Bacterial small subunit ribosomal RNA", at positions 53 to 1010 of the family's 1533-position model. The record is from RNAcentral.